This 774-nucleotide long non-coding RNA is filed under the name Penaeus japonicus. Its description in RNAcentral is "uncharacterized LOC122250345". The record is from RNAcentral. Lineage: Eukaryota; Metazoa; Arthropoda; Malacostraca; Decapoda; Penaeidae.
CCGUGAACAAGCUAACGUUGCGUAAUGUGUCUUUUUAUCAUGAGGAUUAAGUCGUAGUCGUUAAGCAGUUGAUCGCGGGAGCAAGUCAGCGACAGUGGUGCCAUCUCCUGCUCUGACGACAGUUGUGCCACCUGUAAGUGAGCAGGAAAGAUGAAUAUGUUAUCUGCAGCGUUGCUCCUUGCAAUAUUAGCAGGAUCAGCUUACACAGAAGAUUGGGAAGAUUUUAUGAAGACGCAUAACAAGAAUCUGUGGGAUCACUUUCAUCGUCUCGAUAGCGAUAUCUCCAAAAGCGUAGACGACAACAUCGACCAAGGAUUCGAUUUCAACUUCAAGGAUGGAAUUAAGUUAAGCGGAUGCAACGAAAUUUGAGCCAUAAACAGUCCUUCCUUACAGGAUGUUAACCAAGGAUCCCAUUUCAGCUUCGGGGAUCCGUCUACGCAAAAUCAAGACGUCAUACAAGAAGGACAAGGUGACGUCACACUUCAAAACGUCAUCCAGGGUCCCUCGUUUCACUACGGCGAUAAGAGUCCCUCGAAGCCUCUCCAGACACAGAAGGUCCACCAGCAAGGCAAGGGACUGGUCGUGGUGCAGAAUGUGGUGCAGGGACCCUCCGUCCACGUCCCGAAGUAUGACUUUCCUCAAUUCAAGAAUACUUUCGACUGGAAACCGUGGUCCAGGUGAACGAGCCAUCGGAUGGACGGGUGAUGGGACGGGUGGAUGAUUGGAUGGAUGGAUGGAUGAUUAGAUGGACGGGUGGAUGAUUGGAUGGACGGG